Molecule: long non-coding RNA, 345 nt
Organism: Myotis davidii
Lineage: Eukaryota; Metazoa; Chordata; Mammalia; Chiroptera; Vespertilionidae
Exons: 2
Source: RefSeq, a predicted model, not a curated record
UACUAUUACCUUGAAUUGGUACCUGGAAAUCAGAUUCCGUGGCAUUGGAUUAGCAGUUAAGCUUGAAACCUGGAAUCCUUGGAUGUUGUGGGAAAAUUUUCAAACCAUUCAAGAACAAGCUUCAGACAUGCUGUGCCAUCACCCACAAAUUCUCCAGUGUAUAUUUCCUAAGAACAAGGAUGCUCUGCAAUGUUACCAUCACUCAACUAUUCAUAAAGGAAAUAACCAUCGAUGCAGCAAUACUAUCUAAUCCUCAGAUUUCCCCAGAACUUUCCGCCCUGUAUCAACCGUCUUUUCUUUCUGGUGCAGGAUCUAUUCCAGGAUUAAACAUUACAUUUACCUUUA